GGGCAGGAAGGGAGAAAGAUCAGGAAUCAGGGUAUUGAAUUGGAGAUGAGGAGAUCAGGAUUUAAGUAUAAAACUAGAAGAGAUGAAAACGACAGAAGAUAUGGGGUAUAAGUUUAUUCUUGUGCACAAACCAAGGUAUGUGACUCACACUCAAUAUGCAAAGGAAAUGAACAAUGUCCAGAUCAAGCAGUAAAUGUGAUGGGCGAUGACAAACUGCAAAAGACAGAGGGACAGACUCAAAGGAAGCAGCACAGAUACCACCUGUUUUUCCAACAGAGCACACACUCUCACAUCCUGCCACCAUCAUCCCCCUUCACUCUAACAUUCUUUUCCCUCAAAUUUUCCCCAAUACCCCUUUCUGUAGAUGGUUGGUUUCUUAUUACUCAAUUUUACUCUCUGCCAACACUACACUCUCCCUCACCACGCUCCUCUCCGUGCUCAAUCAGUUUCAUUCAUAUCUGUUCUGCUCCUGGUUUCUAGCUCACUUUCCACAUAAUGGCUCUUUUCUCCUUCCUUUCUAUCUUAGGUUCAUGAAGCAACAAAGCCAAUAAUUUGUCAUUCUCCAAGGACAUUUUCUUUUUCUUUUCAUUUCCUGGAUGUUUGGUUGCUCAGCAUGGGCCUCUCAAGUUACUAACUUUCUGAAAUCCUGAGAAAUAGAGUUCUUAGUUCUAUUCCUGGUCCAGCUGGUAUAACUCAACCCAUAUAAACUGCCCCGGCCCUUUGAGUCUCCUCAUACUCUGUGAGUUUCACAAGAUGCUCUACACCUGCUACAGAUGAUGAUCUUUAGUGAGUUUCUCCCGCCAGACAAUCCAUGUGGGGAUGGCUGACACUUCUUUCAUCAGUUCAACGGUAAGACUCAGACUGGGUCUUUAUCUAGAACUCUCCCCUUACUCUUGCCUCAGACAAAAGAGCACAUCUGUACACACACACACACACACACCCCUAGGAAUAUGCCAGCCAAGCUUAGGAAAGAAGAGUCAGGAGCAGCAAGCAUCUCAGUGCAAACAGGGGCCAGUCCAGUCCCUUUGAUGCCCAUCCGGUGGUGACGUCUUUGCCCAAAGUCUCAGUGAUAACUUCUCUGUGUCUUUCCCACUGAAUGUCGAAACAAAGCCCACAGAGAAAGCACAAAUGUAGAGAUAUAGAGGCCAGUGGAGGAGAGUAGGUGAAGAGACCUAGAGUUAAGACAGAGAUCCAGGCAAGGAACUACAGAGACAAAAAGAAGCACAGACACCAAAACAGAGCUGGCAGGUCUGAAAGCAGCAGGAAGGUUGAAAGCCAGGAGGAAGCUAGGGCAUGGGACACCUACUCCAAAACUAUCACUGGCAGGAGGGAAUUUAGCCUCCACAUGCCUGGGGCGGGCCGCAGGGGCGGGGGUGUUAGUAAGAGAAGCAACUUUAGGAACU
RNAcentral lists this long non-coding RNA (1403 nucleotides) under Sus scrofa (pig). RNAcentral's name for it is "lncRNA (ENSSSCG00015078935.1)". The record is from RNAcentral. Lineage: Eukaryota; Metazoa; Chordata; Mammalia; Artiodactyla; Suidae.